Molecule: ribosomal RNA, 492 nt
Filed under: uncultured bacterium
Lineage: Bacteria
Description: partial 16S ribosomal RNA
Rfam family: Bacterial small subunit ribosomal RNA
Source: RNAcentral
AGUGAACGCUGGCGGUAGGCCUAACACAUGCAAGUCGAACGGCAGCACAGUAAUUUCUUGCUCUUACGGUUUGCGAGUUGCGUACGUGUGAUUUAUACAUCGGAAUCUACUUUUUCGUUUGUCAUUACGUAGCUUAACUUACCCUAAUACCGCAUACUACCUACCGUUGUAAUCAUUUGUUCUUCUGACCUUUCUCGUUUGUUUUAGCCGAUGUCGGAUUAGCUAGUUGGCGUGGUAAAGGCCCACCAAGGCGACGAUCCGUAGCUGGUCUGAGAGGAUGAUCAGCCACACUGGAACUGAGAAACGGACAAGAGUACUAAGGGAGGAAGCAGUGGGGAAUAGUGGACAAGGGGCGGAAGCAUGAUACAGCAAGACCGCGUGGGAGAAGAAGGACUUCGGGUUGUAAAGAAGUUUUGUUGGGAAAGAAAAGAAGAAGGAUAAAAAAGGGAUGAUAUGACGGUAACAAAAGAAUAAGCACCGGCUAACUACGUG